RNAcentral lists this ribosomal RNA (550 nucleotides) under uncultured Lachnospiraceae bacterium. RNAcentral describes it as "bacterial SSU rRNA". It matches the Rfam family "Bacterial small subunit ribosomal RNA", at positions 77 to 646 of the family's 1533-position model. The record is from RNAcentral. Lineage: Bacteria; Bacillati; Bacillota; Clostridia; Lachnospirales; Lachnospiraceae.
GAUUUAGCUGGUUUCUAGUGGCGGACGGGUGAGUAACGCGUGGGUAACCUGCCUUAUACAGGGGGAUAACAGCCAGAAAUGACUGCUAAUACCGCAUAAGCGCACAGAACCGCAUGGUUCGGUGUGAAAAACUCCGGUGGUAUAAGAUGGACCCGCGUUGGAUUAGCUAGUUGGCAGGGCAGCGGCCUACCAAGGCGACGAUCCAUAGCCGGCCUGAGAGGGUGAACGGCCACAUUGGGACUGAGACACGGCCCAGACUCCUACGGGAGGCAGCAGUGGGGAAUAUUGCGCAAUGGGGGAAACCCUGAUGCAGCGACGCCGCGUGAAGGAAGAAGUAUCUCGGUAUGUAAACUCCUAUCAGCAGGGAAGAUAAUGACGGUACCUGACUAAGAAGCCCCGGCUAACUACGUGCCAGCAGCCGCGGUAAUACGUAGGGGGCAAGCGUUAUCCGGAUUUACUGGGUGUAAAGGGAGCGUAGACGGCGCAGCAAGUCUGAUGUGAAAGGCAGGGGCUUAACCCCUGGACUGCAUUGGAAACUGUCUGGCUCGAG